Molecule: long non-coding RNA, 964 nt
Organism: Ricinus communis (castor bean)
Lineage: Eukaryota; Viridiplantae; Streptophyta; Magnoliopsida; Malpighiales; Euphorbiaceae
Exons: 4
Source: RefSeq, a predicted model, not a curated record
AAUGGUAAGAAAGAAAAGUUUGGGGAUCAAUUAUCGAUAUAGAGAAGAAAAGAAAAGAAAGAAAAGAAGAAGAAGAAGAAAAGGAAGAAGAGGAGGAGAUAGGGGGCGUCGGCCUUCAGUGGCGGCAGCGGUGGAGGCCCGUCCGUGGUGCCGCAGUGGCGGCAAAAGCUGCUGCUGGCGUCAGCGAGGAAGCUAGCGGCAGCAGUGGCAGUGAACGGCGUCAGCAGGCGUGAAAUGGGAGAGGCAGCCGCUUUGCCACCGUUCAUGGUGUUUCCGGCAGCCGUUGCCGGCGAUUCUGAGCUCAAAAUGAUCAGUAGCUCGAGGCUUUCUUUUCCGACCAUCUCCACACUUUGAGGCUGCCGGAAUUGCAAAAUCCGACGAAGUGAAAAGUUAGGGGCAGCCUGCGUUUUCUGGCUUUUUCGGCGAGCUUCAGCUAUGGAUGAAUGAUCAGAGGGCAUAUCCAAACUCUGCUCAGCUCAAGCUUUCCAAUGGCACCGGUUUCGUGGCGAUCAGAAUCCGUUUAAAAAUCGACGGCCGAGAUCAUCCGUAAAUCUCUCCAGAUGAUCGGGAGUCGGAUCGGAAGAUCGGAAGCGGGAAUCGUCAACAGCGCAUCGUUUCGAGUCCGAUGGUGCAUUCAGAUUGUCGGAUCAGACUCUGGCGGCUGGAGGCGAGUCGACCGAGCGAUCAAGCGUCUCGAUAGUCCUUCAGUUCGGCUCGCUCCACUCGAGGCAUCGGAGCAGAGCUAGGAGGUCGUCAAAGCUUGAUUGUUAGUCUUCUCGCGGCUCUUAUCUAGCAACCCGACCCCUUCAUCAUUGGGUGAUAUAAUUGAUUUGGACCAUUAACAUAUGAAAAGAAGACGAACAUGAACAUGGACUUGCACAUAUAAAAAUAUCCGUACAAGUAGAAGGCGAGAGAGAUGACCUGGAGAAGAGGUAGUGGCAGCAGGAGAAGAGACUCUCAAGAA